GCAAAGCAGAAGAAAUUUUGUGACGCAAAGCUAAAGGGCCUAAGGAGUUAUUUAUGGUAGCCAGUUGCAG
Molecule: non-coding RNA, 70 nt
Filed under: uncultured Eubacterium sp.
Lineage: Bacteria; Bacillati; Bacillota; Clostridia; Eubacteriales; Eubacteriaceae
Description: Cyclic di-GMP-I riboswitch
Rfam family: c-di-GMP-I riboswitch aptamer
About the family: GEMM was predicted in a large-scale screen for bacterial structured RNA regulatory elements. Genes associated with GEMM are involved in a diverse array of functions, including chemotaxis regulation, signal transduction, secretion and chitin.
Source: RNAcentral